UACGUAGGUGACUAGCGUUGUCCGGAUUUACUGGGCGUAAAGAGCGCGCAGGCGGUCGUUCAAGUCGAGUGUGAAAGCCCCCGGCUCAACUGGGGAGGGUCAUUCGAUACUGAUCGACUUGAAGGCAGGAGAGGGAAGUGGAAUUCCCGGUGUAGUGGUGAAAUGCGUAGAUAUCGGGAGGAACACCAGUGGCGAAGGCGACUUCCUGGCCUGUUCUUGACGCUGAGGCGCGAAAGCUAGGGGAGCAAACGGG
This 253-nucleotide ribosomal RNA is filed under the name uncultured bacterium. Its description in RNAcentral is "partial 16S ribosomal RNA". It matches the Rfam family "Bacterial small subunit ribosomal RNA", at positions 524 to 776 of the family's 1533-position model. The record is from RNAcentral.